UGUGGCUCAGUGGUAGAGCACUUGUCUUGUAUGUGGGAAGUCCUGGGUUCAAUUCCUAGCA
This 61-nucleotide transfer RNA is filed under the name Heterocephalus glaber (naked mole-rat). It matches the Rfam family "tRNA", at positions 6 to 65 of the family's 71-position model. From Rfam's summary of the family: Transfer RNA (tRNA) molecules are approximately 80 nucleotides in length. Their secondary structure includes four short double-helical elements and three loops (D, anti-codon, and T loops). Lineage: Eukaryota; Metazoa; Chordata; Mammalia; Rodentia; Bathyergidae. The record is from Rfam by way of RNAcentral.